Molecule: ribosomal RNA, 764 nt
Filed under: uncultured Streptococcus sp.
Lineage: Bacteria; Bacillati; Bacillota; Bacilli; Lactobacillales; Streptococcaceae
Description: bacterial SSU rRNA
Rfam family: Bacterial small subunit ribosomal RNA
Source: RNAcentral
GACGAACGCUGGCGGCGUGCCUAAUACAUGCAAGUAGAACGCUGAAGAGAGGAGCUUGCUCUUCUGGAUGAGUUGCGAACGGGUGAGUAACGCGUAGGUAACCUGCCUUGUAGCGGGGGAUAACUAUUGGAAACGAUAGCUAAUACCGCAUAACAAUGGAUGACCCAUGUCAUUUAUUUGAAAGGGGCAAAUGCUCCACUACAAGAUGGACCUGCGUUGUAUUAGCUAGUAGGUGAGGUAACGGCUCACCUAGGCGACGAUACAUAGCCGACCUGAGAGGGUGAUCGGCCACACUGGGACUGAGACACGGCCCAGACUCCUACGGGAGGCAGCAGUAGGGAAUCUUCGGCAAUGGGGGCAACCCUGACCGAGCAACGCCGCGUGAGUGAAGAAGGUUUUCGGAUCGUAAAGCUCUGUUGUAAGUCAAGAACGAGUGUGAGAGUGGAAAGUUCACACUGUGACGGUAGCUUACCAGAAAGGGACGGCUAACUACGUGCCAGCAGCCGCGGUAAUACGUAGGUCCCGAGCGUUGUCCGGAUUUAUUGGGCGUAAAGCGAGCGCAGGCGGUUUGAUAAGUCUGAAGUUAAAGGCUGUGGCUCAACCAUAGUUCGCUUUGGAAACUGUCAAACUUGAGUGCAGAAGGGGAGAGUGGAAUUCCAUGUGUAGCGGUGAAAUGCGUAGAUAUAUGGAGGAACACCGGUGGCGAAAGCGGCUCUCUGGUCUGUAACUGACGCUGAGGCUCGAAAGCGUGGGGAGCGAACAGG